This 1059-nucleotide long non-coding RNA is filed under the name Anas platyrhynchos (mallard). Its description in RNAcentral is "lncRNA (ENSAPLG00020015150.1)". The record is from RNAcentral. Lineage: Eukaryota; Metazoa; Chordata; Aves; Anseriformes; Anatidae.
AUGGAGCAGGCGCAGGGCUGGCCCCAUCCUGGUGCAGGUCCUGGGGAGAUGGGGACGAGCCCCCCAGGGCAGGAGGAAGGCGCAGGGCGAUGGGUUUUUUUAGGAACAAGGCUUUGGAGGGGGUGUCAGUGCUGUGCUGGGCUCCCUCCUGCUUACAGCUGGAGCAGCACGGGGGGGUUGGGGCUGGGGGACCCCUUCCCUGCUCCCCGCAAAGGGAGAAGGGGGCUCUGGGGGGGGGCACGGUGCCUGCAGGAUGGAGCAAAGCAGCAAGGACAAGGCAAGUGCUCCGUGGGAUCGUACCUGGGCCCCAUCCCAACAUGGGAUGGGGAAGGGGGGCACGGGGAGGACACCCUGGGGGCAGGCUGGUGGCUCUGUGGGACCAGGGCUGGGACCCCAAAAGCUGCGAGGUGCUGGGGAGCAGCCCCAAGCCCUGGUGCUCCAGCUGCUCGCAGGUCGGGACACAGCACCCCAACCCCCCCCAAAAAAGAUUGUGCUGUAAGAGCAGGGAGAUGGGGUCCGGGCUCCCCGAGGGGGGGGCUCACAGUGGUUUGGGGGCCUGGCACUUUGGGGCUCCUGCGUCAUCUCCAUCCCUGCUGUGCAAAGCUCAGCUCCAGGCUGGAGCUGGAGCCGGCUCCUGUGUGCUGGAGGGAGGAGAUCCAGGAGCGAGGGACCAGCAGCACCCAGGCUCCCCCCCCCCCGGGCACAAACCAAGGCACCGAGGGAGAAGGAACACGAGGUGGGUGGUGUGAAGGCACCUCCGAGCUGUCCCCUGCGAUGGAGGGGCUGGGGGAAGGCUCAGAGACCCCCCCUAGACCCCCAGGGGAGCACCCAGCAGCAGUGCAAAGGGAUAAAAAUAAAAAAGGGGGGGUCUCUGGCUUCUCCUCCACCCCUCACCUGCAGCACUGUCCUUACCCUACACCCCCGGUGUAUCCAAAACCACGGCCCCAGCCUGAGCCUGCAGGCACCGUCCCCCGGGACCAGGACAAGGUGGUGAAUUUGGGAACGUGCACCCCAAAACCCGGCGGUGCCCGCAGGGAUGCUGCCCACGGGCAGAGCUGA